CCUACGGGGGGCUGCAGUGGGGAAUAUUGCACAAUGGGCGCAAGCCUGAUGCAGCCAUGCCGCGUGUGUGAAGAAGGCCUUCGGGUUGUAAAGCACUUUCAGCGGGGAGGAAGGCGUUAAGGUUAAUAACCUUGUCGAUUGACGUUACCCGCAGAAGAAGCACCGGCUAACUCCGUGCCAGCAGCCGCGGUAAUACGGAGGGUGCAAGCGUUAAUCGGAAUUACUGGGCGUAAAGCGCACGCAGGCGGUCUGUCAAGUCGGAUGUGAAAUCCCCGGGCUCAACCUGGGAACUGCAUUCGAAACUGGCAGGCUAGAGUCUUGUAGAGGGGGGUAGAAUUCCAGGUGUAGCGGUGAAAUGCGUAGAGAUCUGGAGGAAUACCGGUGGCGAAGGCGGCCCCCUGGACAAAGACUGACACUCAGGUGCGAAAGCGUGGGGAGCAAACAGGAUUAGAUACCCUUGUAGUC
This 465-nucleotide ribosomal RNA is filed under the name uncultured Klebsiella sp. RNAcentral describes it as "bacterial SSU rRNA". It matches the Rfam family "Bacterial small subunit ribosomal RNA", at positions 338 to 795 of the family's 1533-position model. Lineage: Bacteria; Pseudomonadati; Pseudomonadota; Gammaproteobacteria; Enterobacterales; Enterobacteriaceae. The record is from RNAcentral.